This 888-nucleotide long non-coding RNA is filed under the name Phasianus colchicus (ring-necked pheasant). RNAcentral describes it as "lncRNA (ENSPCLG00000001404.1)". The record is from RNAcentral. Lineage: Eukaryota; Metazoa; Chordata; Aves; Galliformes; Phasianidae.
AGUUUAUGAAAAAAGUCGUUGAAUACCCAAGUAUUACAUAGGAUUAAAUUCUCGUCAUUUUUUUUUCUGAAGUUCUAAUUAUGACAAUGGUGCACAAGGAUUAUGAUUAUUACUAUGAAUUUCCUUCUUUUUCUCCUUCCUUUUUUCAUCGUAGACAGUGAAAAUAGAUUAAUCUAACAGCUUUUACAUUGUGGUCUGUGGACCAGACCUGGAUUGUAAGACUUUUUAUUUCAGCAGUUUUGUUGUUCAAGAACUGACAUUUCCUUCUACUUCUGGCCAUGCUUUUUCAUUUUCUGAAUGAGUAAACUUAAAGUAGAGAAUACUAAUCAAGUGUAUCCAUUUUUAUGUCCAGCUUAACAUUUACAUUAAAGCAAAAAUGACAACAGAACUGCAGAGGUAACAACUUCACUAAAGAUGGAGUCAUCCAAGGAAGACAGAAGUGGCAAUAGUCAGGAAAAGAAAUCUGGGACAUCCGUGCUUUGGGCAUCCAGUAAGGAUGAGGAAGCAGCACAGGCCCUACAAUGAAAUUACUGCUGGAUGAAUCCAAAGAAUCGGCAUGUGAUUUUGAGUUAAAGUUUCUCCAACUACAAAAUUGAGAGGGCUUGCUCCUCCGAAAGACUAAAGUGUUCUAGUGAUGACAGUAAGAUUUAUCCAGAAAAGAUGUACAGGAUCCUGCGUUGCAUCUAGGAACGUGACUGAGUACCUCGGGAAAGAAUGCACGAAACUGCUCAAACUGGGGAAAAAAGAACUGCUACAAGGAAGAAUUCAUAUUGCAGCCUUGCUCUGACAGCACUGGGGCAGUGAUAUGGUGAAGACAAGCAAAUUUUCCAUUGCUGUAUACUAUGGAAAGGUAAAGUGCAACCGGCCACUUCCUCAGUUUGGCAGUCA